This 454-nucleotide ribosomal RNA is filed under the name uncultured bacterium. RNAcentral describes it as "bacterial SSU rRNA". It matches the Rfam family "Bacterial small subunit ribosomal RNA", at positions 32 to 465 of the family's 1533-position model. The record is from RNAcentral.
AAUCAACGCUGGCGGCGUGCCUCAGACAUGCAAGUCGAACGCGAAAUUUCCCUUCGGGGAGAAAGUAGAGUGGCGCACGGGUGAGUAACACGUAGGUAAUUUGCCUUUGGGUGGGGAAUAACUCAGGGAAACUUGAGCUAAUACCGCAUAAUGCAGCGGCUCGACAUCGAGACAGUUGUUAAAGCGGGGGAUCGCAAGACCUCGCGCCUAAAGAGAAGCCUGCGGCAGAUUAGCUAGUUGGUAAGGUAAUGGCUUACCAAGGCGACGAUCUGUAACCGGCCUGAGAGGGCGGUCGGUCACACUGACACUGACAUACGGGUCAGACUCCUACGGGAGGCAGCAGUCGGGAAUUUUGGGCAAUGGGCGAAAGCCUGACCCACGCAACGCCGCGUGAAGGAUGAAAUUUUCGGAAUGUAAACUUCGCAAGAACAGGAAGAAUAAGUAGAAGCGAAUA